CAUGUGCCCAUUUUAUCAGCGUCUUAAAAGUAUUUACCCUGAAACACGCCUUUUGUCAGAAAACUACAUAAGAAAUUAUGCAUUUUAAAUUUUGAUUUACAUUUAGUCCUGAUGACUUGUCUCUUUUUCUCAUUACUUUUUGUAGAUAUAAUGGAUGCCUGGGCUGGAAAGAGUCCUCACGUUCUACUCUCCAAAAUUGGUGCUUACAAAUUAUUCUACUGGGAUAUCCAACAAAUUGGUCCGGACAUGGAGUUGGAAAGUGAGUCUAUUAAUGCAUAUCUUGCGAUCAUGGUGAGACAAUGCAAUCGCCAUAAUUCAGCCAAAGCAGCAUUCAUUGAUUCAUUUUCAAUGACUGCCAUUUGGAAGAGAAAAGCUCCAAGACUCAAGAUCAAACCCAUGGAGCAUGAAGUGAUUCUGGGAAUUGUAAAUGAACAUCAUCACUGGACAUUAGUGGUCAUUUACCCACAAGAAAAGAAGUCGCUGUAUCUUGAUCCACUCGGAGAAACUAAACAAGGUAUCCAAAAUUGUUUGGAAUCAACAAGGGCAUUCAUGCGAAAAAAAGGAUGCAACGUCUCAAGAUGGACUUGUGACACAGUCAAACACCCAAAACAAUUGGACGCUACCUCAUGUGGAGUCUUUGCAUUGAAAUUUGCUGAAAAGAUCUUGCAAA
Molecule: long non-coding RNA, 670 nt
Organism: Oreochromis aureus
Lineage: Eukaryota; Metazoa; Chordata; Actinopteri; Cichliformes; Cichlidae
Source: Ensembl